RNAcentral lists this long non-coding RNA (282 nucleotides) under Capsella rubella. Its description in RNAcentral is "long non-coding RNA (CRUB_LNC004357)". The record is from RNAcentral. Lineage: Eukaryota; Viridiplantae; Streptophyta; Magnoliopsida; Brassicales; Brassicaceae.
UAUGGUGACCUGAUUCGGCGGACCAACCAGACGAUGAAACAAGUGAUGCGGUUAUUAUACUAUGGACAAUACAUUUUUCUGUAGAUGGACAAGAUUCGGUGAACCAAUUUUGGUCGACUAGUUAUGGCGGAUCAGAUGUAAUGGACCAGAUAUUGUGGACGAGAUUUUUUUUUUUUUUGUCUAUCGUUUUUUGUCUCUGCUCCUUCACCACCCACAACUUCCACAAAAUCUCUCUACUUGUCCUCUAUUAGCACCCACCAAUUUGUACAGAUCUGGUUUAUA